GGGGAUGCUGGGCUUCGACAUGAAGAUUUAUCAUUCUUUUGUGCAGAAUGAGCUGUGACUUGCUCAUAAAACCGGUCAUAAACAUAUAAGUGCAAAAACACUUACAAGCAAGGCUAAGGCCAUGUUUACCAUGCCUGUCCUUGCGACAGUUGCAGUCUAAUUUAGUACCGCAGCCGUUUGCCUGCCGAUGCCUUCUGGGCAGAUCCAAACGUCAUACCGAAGGCUAGGUUGUAAUGUGACUCCAUCUUACAAUCAAAAAAUUCUAUAAGAGUUCGAGUUUUCAAGGUUUUGUUUACUUUUAUACUUGAAAAUUCUAAAUCAGAAAGUAGACUAUUUCUGUAGAGUCAAAAUUAUGUCCUUCGUGGACGCGGGUUCAACUCCCGCCAUCUCCACCA
This 395-nucleotide transfer-messenger RNA is filed under the name Patescibacteria group. RNAcentral's name for it is "UBA11705 sp002773615 Standard tmRNA". It matches the Rfam family "transfer-messenger RNA". From Rfam's summary of the family: Bacterial tmRNA, also known as 10Sa RNA or SsrA, is named for its dual tRNA and mRNA-like properties. The record is from RNAcentral. RNAcentral also lists the same sequence under 1 other name.